CCUACGGGGGGCAGCAGUAGGGAAUUUUUCACAAUGGGCGAAAGCCUGAUGGAGCAACGCCGCGUGCAGGAUGAAGGCCUUCGGGUUGUAAACUGCUUUUAUAAGCGAGAAAUAUGAUGGUAACUUAUGAAUAAGGCUCGGCUAACUACGUGCAGGCAGCCGCGGUCAUAAGUAGGAUCCGAGAAUUAUCCGGAGUGACUGGGUGUAAGGAGUUGCGUAGGUGGGAUAAUAAUUAGCUAGUGAAAUCUGGUGGCUCAACCAUUCAGACUAUUAGCUAAACUGUUAAGCGCGAGACCGUUAGGGGUAACUGGAAUUUCUAGUGUAGGAGUGAAAUCCGUAGAUAUAAGAAGGAACACCAAUAGCGUAGGCAGGUUGCUGGGACGGUUCUGACACUAAGGCACGAAAGCGUAGGGAGCAAACGGGAUUAGAUACCCCAGUAGUC
This 442-nucleotide ribosomal RNA is filed under the name uncultured bacterium. RNAcentral's name for it is "partial 16S ribosomal RNA". It matches the Rfam family "Bacterial small subunit ribosomal RNA", at positions 338 to 795 of the family's 1533-position model. The record is from RNAcentral.